AGGACCAAACUCUGAAUGUUAGUGAUGUCUGAGUACUAUAUAAUAGUUAAAACUUUCAACAACGGAUCUCUUGGUUCUGGCAUCGAUGAAGAACGCAGCGAAAUGCGAUAAGUAAUGUGAAUUGCAGAAUUCAGUGAACCAUCGAAUCUUUGAACGCACAUUGCGCCCGGUGGUAUUCCGCCGGGCAUGCCUGUUCGAGCGUCAUUAUAACCAAUCAUGCCUGGCAUGGUGUUGGGGCACGCGGUCUCGCGGCCCUCAAAAUCAGUGGCGGUGCCGGUAGGCUCUAAGCGUAGUAAUUCUUCUCGCUACAGGGUCCUGCGGGUGGCUUGCCAGAACCCCCCAUUUUUUCAGGUUGACCUCGGAUCAGGUAGGGAUACCCGCUGAACUUAAGCAUAUCAAUAAGCGGAGGAAAAGAAACCAACAGGGAUUACCUCAGUAACGGCGAGUGAAGCGGUAACAGCUCAAAUUUGAAAGCUCCCCACAGGGCGCAUUGUAAUUUGUAGAGGAUGCUUUGGGGGUCGGCCCGGUUUAAGUUCCUUGGAACAGGACGUCAUAGAGGGUGAGAAUCCCGUAUGUGACCGGUGCUAGCCUUCGUGUAAAGCUCCUUCGACGAGUCGAGUUGUUUGGGAAUGCAGCUCAAAAUGGGUGGUAUAUUUCAUCUAAAGCUAAAUAUUGGCCAGAGACCGAUAGCGCACAAGUAGAGUGAUCGAAAGAUGAAAAGCACUUUGGAAAGAGAGUUAAACAGUACGUGAAAUUGUUGAAAGGGAAGCGCUUGCAAUCAGACUUGCGGGCGGUCGAUCAUCCGAG
Molecule: ribosomal RNA, 807 nt
Filed under: Leotiomycetes sp.
Lineage: Eukaryota; Fungi; Ascomycota; Leotiomycetes
Description: eukaryotic LSU rRNA
Rfam family: Eukaryotic large subunit ribosomal RNA (bases 354-807)
Source: RNAcentral